This 574-nucleotide ribosomal RNA is filed under the name uncultured bacterium. Its description in RNAcentral is "partial 16S ribosomal RNA". It matches the Rfam family "Bacterial small subunit ribosomal RNA", at positions 355 to 923 of the family's 1533-position model. The record is from RNAcentral.
UGGGGAAUUUUGGACAAUGGGCGAAAGCCUGAUCCAGCAAUGCCGCGUGUGUGAAGAAGGCCUUCGGGUUGUAAAGCACUUUUGUCCGGAAAGAAAUCCUUGGCUCUAAUACAGUCGGGGGAUGACGGUACCGGAAGAAUAAGCACCGGCUAACUACGUGCCAGCAGCCGCGGUAAUACGUAGGGUGCAAGCGUUAAUCGGAAUUACUGGGCGUAAAGCGUGCGCAGGCGGUUUGCUAAGACCGAUGUGAAAUCCCCGGGCUCAACCUGGGAACUGCAUUGGUGACUGGCAGGCUAGAGUAUGGCAGAGGGGGGUAGAAUUCCACGUGUAGCAGUGAAAUGCGUAGAGAUGUGGAGGAAUACCGAUGGCGAAGGCAGCCCCCUGGGCCAAUACUGACGCUCAUGCACGAAAGCGUGGGGAGCAAACAGGAUUAGAUACCCUGGUAGUCCACGCCCUAAACGAUGUCAACUAGUUGUUGGGGAUUCAUUCCUUAGUAACGUAGCUAACGCGUGAAGUUGACCGCCUGGGGAGUACGGUCGCAAGAUUAAAACUCAAAGGAAUUGACGGGGUCAUA